UGGGGAAUAUUGCACAAUGGGGGAAACCCUGAUGCAGCGACGCCGCGUGAAGGAAGAAGUAUCUCGGUAUGUAAACUUCUAUCAGCAGGGAAGAUAGUGACGGUACCUGACUAAGAAGCCACGGCUAACUACGUGCC
Molecule: ribosomal RNA, 137 nt
Filed under: uncultured bacterium
Lineage: Bacteria
Description: partial 16S ribosomal RNA
Rfam family: Bacterial small subunit ribosomal RNA
Source: RNAcentral